UGCCUGUGCGCUUGCUACUCGCGGCCGCCGGCCAGUCAGUGCAGAAUCACACACGGGCAGGCUCGCUGCUGCAGCAAUCGCUAGGCAAGAGAGGCCGUGUGACUCAAUCAUUACACACGUUGCUUGGCGCCACGAUCAUGUGAUAGAACCAAAUAGAAAGUAAAGCAGCUGCUUCCAGCGUUUCGUUUCCUGCACGAUUGCUAAACUUCCUGUUUUUCUUCUCACUCCUCUACAACACAUCAGCUGUACAUGAAAGACAAGGGGCUUGAUGGCUUUGGAGGCGGCGGGAGAUCUCUAUGCCCUGAAAUGCAGUAUGCCACACCAUUUUCUCCAGACCCCCCACAGAAUCCACUUUGGGGACUUCACUGUUGGUCACUGGCUGGAAGGAGGUGCAAAGAAUGGGCUGGACAGCUCUGAAAGGGAAGCUGAUAACUUGACAGAUGGUGUAAAAACAGAGAAAACUGCAGCUCUGGAAAAGGUCUUGUCUGCCCUCACUGGACUCCUAAAUGAGUACAAGUCAGGCUUGAGGAUUAAGAAAGUACAGGAUUUUUUGCUUCUCAGGCAUGGCAUUGAUCUGCAGGAGUUCUGCGUUGCUCAAGGUUACAGGGACAUGCUGGAAUUCUUGGAUCAUCAUAUGCCUCAACUGGACAUCAGAGGCCGUGAGAACAGUGUUGGCUUUGUCGUUCAGCUUCCUGAAGANAUUUCUGCACCCCCUAUUUCUGCUGUUGCUGAGAACCUUAUGGAAAGCCUAGCAUGUCAGGCACCAGCACUGAUUCGGGACAUCCUCGAGAGCCACCCGCAUGGUCUAAAAAUGAAGAAGCUAAGUGAAGUCUUAAAAACGAAGUAUGGGUUUGACCUAGAAUCAUUCUGUUGUGUCCUUGGCUACAACAGUGUGGAGUCUUAUCUACAGGACAUUCCUGGGCUGUUUAGGACCCGGAACUGUGUUAUCCGCCUUCGGCCACGUUCCCCAAGUCCUGCUCCUUCCCUGGACACAGAUUUUUCUGCAUGCUACUCAAAUGGUGCUCAUGAGNAGUUAACAACAAAAGAUUCUGGUAAUGUUGCUUACAGAUUCUGGCUAACAAAAUCCACAUUUGAUCCCUGAACAACUUGCUUCUUCUUCUGUGGGUUUUUAUGCAUGAAUGGCCAAAGUGGGGCACGUUUUGACUACAGUGUGCUUCAAGAAAGUAUCAACGAAAGGACCACAUUCACUCUCUUGCAAUCAACCUCUAUUUGCCUUGAUCACCUGCAGAUCUUUACCUGUACAGAAGAGCACUUGGUAACUUUUUUGUCCUGUAUGAGUUUGCUCUGUACAAGCUUUAAGGAAUCAGAAAAAGACCACUGUCUUAUUUUCAGUGUAGUAGCAAAUCGCCGUUAAGAGAUGCUUAAGUGAAGAAUAUUCAAGUCCCAUUCAAUUUUGGUCUGAUUAUAUUAUUCCAUCUGUUGUUACCUGUGUGACAGAAGAUGCCAAGCACUGUUGAUAUGGCCCUUUCUGCCUAGUUUUGUGUAUUUAAAUGCUCUGAUCAAGAUGCUGACACAGUCCUCCAGGGUUAAAGAUGGGCAUGAUUUCUAUAAAGUGGUUCCCCUUCAGUCAGCAACAUCCAAUACAGUGCUCUUGAUGUAUUUUCAGUUUUAGUGAAACUGCUGACAUGGUGGUAGGUGAAUCACAGUUAUUCACCUUCUGCACAUCUCAGCUCCAGUUUAGAUCUAAAUUAAACAAGUCUCCCUUUCUCCCUUAAUUGACUGUGGCUGACUUUGCUGGCUGUUUUCCAUGGUGUUCAGGGCUUUCAGGUCUCUUUGCUUUCCUGUAAGAAUCUCUUCAAUAUCCAUCUCAACUAUGUCUUUCCUUUUGCACUUCUGGUAGGGGCUGCCAGCACUACUCCUGCUUUGGACAGUGAUGUGUCUGCGGGUAGCUGGAAUGCUGUGUCCCAGAAAAAGAUAGCAAAGAAGCCUGGUAAGAUUGCAUUUCAACUCUUUUGGUAUUCUGAGUAAAACAGGAGAAGCUUUAUGCNUGGUCUCCCACAAUUUCACUUCUUAAUGCUUGCUAGCAACGCUUGGCCAUUUGUCCCAUAUGCCCCUUCCUGAUCUGUUUAACAGAAAUAUUUAACAGGUAUUGUAAGCAUUCGCAAUAUGGAUAAUUGCUUUGGAUCUUACUGCAUGACACGCAGACUGCAUCCAGACACGUCCUGGCUAACAGAGGGUUGGGGGGAGGGCUAAGGAAAGAGGUGUACUCUGGAUGUGGCCACCUCCUGCCCCAGUGGCCAUUUGGAGUAACACGAUAUUGGAGCAGGAUCUCCUACUCUGAUGCCAUCCAGAUGACCAAAUCAUUGUGAAGGAUGAUGUCUGAUGAUAGUUGUGCCAUCCCUCAUGCCGGCUGGAAACCCGGAAUUUUGGACAUCUGAGGCCCACGCAGUAUCUGAGACCCAGCUUCCAGAACCAUUUCAAGUCCUUUGCUAGAGAGGCCUUCCAGGGAGUUUGUCUCCAUGAACGGUCUGUUAAUUGCCAAAUUAUUAUUGUUUCCUGUUGAUAUAUCAGUUUCCCCAGUUUUGGGGACUCAGUAGGGAUGCUUCUUAGGAAAAGCGCAUAUUUUUCCUGUAGGGAUUGCAUGGUGUUUUUCCAAUCCCAUUGAGUAUUUAGAAAAUCAAAGCAGAUUUUUAACCAUAUGUUUGGGAUCACUUAUUGAAACACGCUUACUGAUUUAUCAGUAUGGGCUUUGACUGAAGGCAGGUCCAAUUCAGCUAGGACAAGAAAAGCCAAAGCUGUAUUGGGAAAUCCCAAUAAUAUUUUGCAGAAUUCACUUUGAAUCUUUUCUAGUUCUCUAAUUCUCAUUCUGCCCCCAAAUUUCUGUCCUCAAACAAUAGAGGGAUAGCCUUACUGUAGAAGAGGUUUUAAAGAGCUCUAUUAAUCUACUACCUUUUGUACAAUAAAAUUUCAUUAUUGCCGUGACUUUAUUGUCA
Molecule: long non-coding RNA, 2954 nt
Organism: Salvator merianae (Argentine black and white tegu)
Lineage: Eukaryota; Metazoa; Chordata; Lepidosauria; Squamata; Teiidae
Source: Ensembl